CCUACGGGAGGCAGCAGUGACGAAUAUUGGUCAAUGGGCGAGAGCCUGAACCAGCCAAGUCGCGUGAAGGAAGAAGGAUCUAUGGUUCGUAAACUUCUUUUGCAGGGGAAUAUAGUGCAGGACGUGUCCUGUUUUGUAUGUACCCUGAGAAUAAGGAUCGGCUAGCUCCGUGCCAGCAGCCGCGGUAAU
Molecule: ribosomal RNA, 189 nt
Filed under: bacterium rP6
Lineage: Bacteria
Description: partial 16S rRNA
Rfam family: Bacterial small subunit ribosomal RNA
Source: RNAcentral